This 1226-nucleotide ribosomal RNA is filed under the name Promicromonospora sp. Its description in RNAcentral is "bacterial SSU rRNA". It matches the Rfam family "Bacterial small subunit ribosomal RNA", at positions 246 to 1478 of the family's 1533-position model. The record is from RNAcentral. Lineage: Bacteria; Bacillati; Actinomycetota; Actinomycetes; Micrococcales; Promicromonosporaceae.
UUGUUGGGGGGGUAAGGCCCUCCCCAGNNGUUGGGCGGGUACCCGCCCUNNAANGGGCNCCCGGCCACCCUGGGACUGNNACCCGGCCCCAGNNUCCUACGGGAGGCAGCAGUGGGGAAUUUUGCACAAUGGGCGAAANCCUGAUGCAGCGACGCCACGUGAGGGAUGACGGCCUUCGGGUUGUAAACCUUCUUUCAGCAGGGAAGAAGCGCAAGUGACGGUACCUGCAGAAGAAGCGCCGGCUAANUACGUGCCAGCAGCCGCGGUAAUACGUAGGGCGCAAGCGUUGUCCGGAAUUAUUGGGCGUAAAGAGCUCGUAGGCGGUCUGUCGCGUCUGGUGUGAAAUCUCAUGGCUCAACUGUGAGCUUGCAUCGGGUACGGGCAGACUGGAGUGCUGUAGGGGAGACUGGAAUUCCUGGUGUAGCGGUGGAAUGCGCAGAUAUCAGGAGGAACACCGAUGGCGAAGGCAGGUCUCUGGGCAGUUACUGACGCUGAGGAGCGAAAGCAUGGGGAGCGAACAGGAUUAGAUACCCUGGUAGUCCAUGCCGUAAACGUUGGGCACUAGGUGUGGGGCCAGUUCCACUGGUUCUGUGCCGUAGCUAACGCAUUAAGUGCCCCGCCUGGGGAGUACGGCCGCAAGGCUAAAACUCAAAGGAAUUGACGGGGGCCCGCACAAGCGGCGGAGCAUGCGGAUUAAUUCGAUGCAACGCGAAGAACCUUACCAAGGCUUGACAUGUACGAGAAAGCCCCAGAGAUGGGGUUCUCUUUGGACACUCGUACACAGGUGGUGCAUGGUUGUCGUCAGCUCGUGUCGUGAGAUGUUGGGUUAAGUCCCGCAACGAGCGCAACCCUUGUCUCAUGUUGCCAGCGGGUUAUGCCGGGGACUCAUGGGAGACUGCCGGGGUCAACUCGGAGGAAGGUGGGGAUGACGUCAAAUCAUCAUGCCCCUUAUGUCUUGGGCUUCACGCAUGCUACAAUGGCCGGUACAGAGGGCUGCGAUACCGUGAGGUGGAGCGAAUCCCAAAAAGCCGGUCUCAGUUCGGAUCGGGGUCUGCAACUCGACCCCGUGAAGUCGGAGUCGCUAGUAAUCGCAGAUCAGCAACGCUGCGGUGAAUACGUUCCCGGGCCUUGUACACACCGCCCGUCAAGUCACGAAAGUUGGUAACACCCGAAGCUCACGGCCCAACCCCUUGUGGUAGGGAGUGUCGAAGGUGGUUCGUCNUCGC